RNAcentral lists this ribosomal RNA (407 nucleotides) under uncultured bacterium. RNAcentral's name for it is "partial 16S ribosomal RNA". It matches the Rfam family "Bacterial small subunit ribosomal RNA", at positions 30 to 526 of the family's 1533-position model. The record is from RNAcentral.
AUUGAACGCUAGCGGGAUGCUUUACACAUGCAAGUCGAACGGAGUGGCGGACGGGUGAGUAAUAGAGCGGCACGUGCCCAGUAGCGGGGGAUAACUACUCGAAAGAGUGGCUAAUACCGCAAACUACUGGAGCGGCCGAUAUCGGAUUAGCUAGUUGGGGGGGUAAAGGCUCACAAAGGCAACGAUCCGUAGCAGGUUUGCGAGGACGACCAGCCACACUGGGACUGAGACACGGCCCAGACUCCGACGGGAGGCAGCAGUGGGGAAUUGUGGACAAUGGGGGAAACCCUGAUCCAGCCAUCCCGCGUGUAGGAUGAAGGUCUUCGGGUUGUAAAGUACUGUUGGCAGAGAAGCGGUAUCUGCAGAAUAAGCACCGGCUAACUACGUGCCAGCAGCCGCGGUAAUAC